GGGCCGCUGGUCUAGUGGUAUGAUUCUCGCUUAGGGACAGUUCGUUAGGACCGUUAAACAACCUGAGCAAUUUCCUGCGAGAGGUCCCGGGUUCAAUCCCCGGGUGGCCCC
Apodospora peruviana is the source of this 111-nucleotide non-coding RNA. Lineage: Eukaryota; Fungi; Ascomycota; Sordariomycetes; Sordariales; Lasiosphaeriaceae. The record is from the annotation of a GenBank genome assembly.